RNAcentral lists this ribosomal RNA (1252 nucleotides) under metagenome. RNAcentral describes it as "bacterial LSU rRNA". It matches the Rfam family "Bacterial large subunit ribosomal RNA", at positions 1635 to 2876 of the family's 2925-position model. The record is from RNAcentral.
CACACGACCGUACCGCAAACCGACACUGGUGCGCGAGAUGAGUAUUCUAAGGCGCUUGAGAGAACUCAGGAGAAGGAACUCGGCAAAUUGACACCGUAACUUCGGAAGAAGGUGUGCCUUUAGUAGGUGAACCAUUUACUUGGGGAGCCCAAUGAGGCUGCAAAAAAUCGGUGGCUGCAACUGUUUAUUAAAAACACAGCACUCUGCUAAGACGGAAGUCGACGUAUAGGGUGUGACGCCUGCCCGGUGCUGGAAGAUUAAAUGAUGGGGUGCAAGCUCUUGAUUGAAGUCCCAGUAAACGGCGGCCGUAACGAUAACGGUCCUAAGGUAGCGAAAUUCCUUGUCGGGUAAGUUCCGACCUGCACGAAUGGCGUAAUGAUGGCCACACUGUCUCCUCCUGAGACUCAGCGAAGUUGAAAUGUUUGUGAUGAUGCAAUCUCCCCGCGGAAAGACGGAAAGACCCCAUGAACCUUUACUGUAGCUUUGUAUUGGACUUUGAACAGAUCUGUGUAGGAUAGGUGGGAGGCUUUGAAGUGUGGUCGCUAGAUCGCAUGGAGCCAACGUUGAAAUACCACCCUGGUGUGUUUGAGGUUCUAACCUAGGUCCAUUAUCUGGAUCGGGGACAGUGCAUGGUAGGCAGUUUGACUGGGGCGGUCUCCUCCCAAAGUGUAACGGAGGAGUUCGAAGGUACGCUAGGUACGGUCGGACAUCGUGCUAAUAGUGCAAUGGCAUAAGCGUGCUUAACUGCGAGACUGACAAGUCGAGCAGAUGCGAAAGCAGGACAUAGUGAUCCGGUGGUUCUGUAUGGAAGGGCCAUCGCUCAACGGAUAAAAGGUACUCUGGGGAUAACAGGCUGAUACCGCCCAAGAGUUCAUAUCGACGGCGGUGUUUGGCACCUCGACGUCGGCUCUUCUCAUCCUGGGGCUGUAGCCGGUCCCAAGGGUAUGGCUGUUCGCCAUUUAAAGAGGUACGUGAGCUGGGUUUAAAACGUCGUGAGACAGUUUGGUCCCUAUCUUCCGUGGGCGCUGCAGAUUUGAGGAAGCCUGCUCCUAGUACGAGAGGACCGGAGUGGACGAACCUCUGGUGUAUCGGUUGUCACGCCAGUGGCAUUGCCGAGUAGCUAAGUUCGGAAGAGAUAACCGCUGAAAGCAUCUAAGCGGGAAACUCGUUUCAAGAUUAGAUCUGCCGGGGCCUUGAGCCCCCUAAAGAGUCGUUCAAGACCAGGACGUUGAUAGGUCAGGUGUGGAAGCCA